GGUGAAAUGACCGAGAAUAGGUAUUAAACUGUAAAUUUAAUUACGAAGAUUAGUCUUCUUUUACCA
RNAcentral lists this transfer RNA (66 nucleotides) under Lachnaia cylindrica. Its description in RNAcentral is "tRNA-Tyr". Lineage: Eukaryota; Metazoa; Arthropoda; Insecta; Coleoptera; Chrysomelidae. The record is from RNAcentral.